CCGGAGUACAACCGCUGGAUGAUAGCCGACACAUUACCAAAGAUACUGGCGUACAUUAGGGCUGCGAGAGGGAGAAUCACACCAGACAGUCCCAGUACAGUCUAAACACUCACAGCCAAUCAGCAUGACACAGAUGGAGAAGAUCUUCUCGGAGUUGGUGUUGGGGGAGACGUUGCCAAAGCCCACGCUGGUCAGGCUACUGAAGAUAGGGCUUCUCCACAUUGCCGAUGGCGUACCAGAUGCAGGCCAGCCAAUGGGCAAUGAGGGCGAAGAUGCACAUGAGGAGCAUAAGGACGGCGGCGCCGUACUCUGAAUAUCGGUCCAGCUUACGGGCCACGCGAACGAGUCGGAGCAACCGGGCGGUCUUCAGCAGGCCAAUCAGAGUUGUGGUCUGAGGGGACAUAGAAGUCAACAGAGCUGUGAUUGGCUGGGGGUUUGAGUGUUGCAGUACAGUGCAGGCAAGUUAUUUUUUAAUUGGAUGCACCACAACAGGAAGCAAUUUGUUGUGAUUAGGGGUAACCUUAAGGUCAGAUCAAAGGUAAGGAGUUAGGGUUAAGAUAGUACUGUUACAAUCAAGCUUGGCUAAAUGACCACGAUCCAGUUUCUAAUUCCAGUUUCUAAAUCACUGAGCAUGACAGUGUGUCAAUGGAAGGGAACUAGACUGCUGUCUAAACCAGCAGAGAGCAGUGGCAAUAAUAUAAAUAUAACAUAACAUAUUUCCGUCAUUCUAAAAUGAGGGGUGAGAGGGAUUUAUCAAGCCUACAUACUGAUACUAAGACGACUGCAGAAAAAAUAUGUUUUUAAAGAACAAUAAAAACAAAUCUGAAAUAACUGAGCUUUUGACAGUGAACGUCCAAGUCUUCCAGCCAGGCAGCAUGAAAGCAAACACCACGCCUCUCCUGUCCUCCCACCCCUCCUUCUGUUCAGUUUCAUUUAAACAGCCUUAAUCCUGGCAUCUCUCCAUCUCAAUUCCUGCCCAGCUAAAUUAACACGGUGACAAAAAAACAAUAAACGACCACGGCCUGCCAUGAGAUAAGAGCUGAUUUAUUAGUGUCGCACAGUCUGCAAACAGCAUAAGUGAGUCUUAGGGAAACGCUAAUAGUUUGUUCCUCGUCUCAUCAGGACUGACGAUUAUAGUAAUAUCCUGAGGGAAGUCAUUGCUACUACUGUUUCUCGUCCUCUACAGUCACUCAGCUCUCUGCACCUGUACACAUUUAUUUACAGGGUGCUUCUCCCGUUUACACAUGAGACUCAAUUUGACAGUGACUAUGGUUCCUUGUCUCAUAGAAUGGGGGUCUGAUUUAUGGCGCAACACCGCCUCGACUCUGUCACAGGUAAAUAUGCUCUGGUGAGGGACACGGAUGCUACUGCUGAGGCUCUGAAAGCUCCAUUACAAACCGACCGGCCCAUCUGCCCAAAUCUUCCCCCUAAAUCACUGCAAUCAUUUACAGCAGCUUUCGUCUCCUUUACUCUUAGAGAAAAAAGGUGUUAUGGAGAACCUAAAAGGGUUCUUUGGCUGUUCUUGUAACGUCUGCUUCCAACUCACACUCUCAAACACGUAGAUCCCCUGAAUGCAGCUCACUCUCCAGAUCCCAAUCACCUGCAUUCUGAUCACCUGUUCAUACACCUGUAUGUCAUUAUCACACACUAUUUAGUUCAGUUCUUUGCACCCCAUCAUUGUGAGGUAUUGUUUGUUUUGUGACACACUUCUAUUGGGAGCGCUGGUUUUCCUGUAAUUUACUCCUCCCGUGGAUGAUAGUUUUUUCCUGCCUCACUAACAAUGCCUUUUGCCUAUUCCCUGCCUGUACUUUAGCCUAUCGGAUUUCCUGUUAUCUACCUAUUGCCUGAUCUCCCGGACGACGUUAUUAGACUUUUCCCUGUCUGUACUGUUGCCUUUUUGGACCCCCUGUGUAUGACCUUCUGCCUGCUCCUGGACCCAACUACUUGCCUCCUCCUGUGGUCCUUUACAAUAAAAACCUGCUGUGCACAGCACUUGAAACCAGCUCUCUGUCUCCCAUCGUGUUCAUUACAGUCCCCUAAGGAGAACGCUUUGAAGAACACUUUUUGGCUCCAGGUAGAACCCUUUUGGGUUCC
This is a long non-coding RNA of Salvelinus fontinalis (brook trout), 2094 nucleotides long. RefSeq lists it as uncharacterized. Lineage: Eukaryota; Metazoa; Chordata; Actinopteri; Salmoniformes; Salmonidae. The record is from RefSeq and is a predicted model, not a curated record. The transcript is spliced from 3 exons.